AUUGAACGCUGGCGGCAUGCCUUACACAUGCAAGUCGAACGGUAACGCGGGGCAACCUGGCGACGAGUGGCGAACGGGUGAGUAAUAUAUCGGAACGUGCCCAGUAGUGGGGGAUAGCCCGGCGAAAGCCGGAUUAAUACCGCAUACGACCUACGGGUGAAAGGCGGGGGAUCGCAAGACCUCGCGCUAUUGGAGCGGCCGAUAUCAGAUUAGGUAGUUGGUGGGGUAAAGGCCUACCAAGCCUACGAUCUGUAGCUGGUCUGAGAGGACGACCAGCCACACUGGGACUGAGACACGGCCCAGACUCCUACGGGAGGCAGCAGUGGGGAAUUUUUGGACAAUGGGCGCAAGCCUGAUCCAGCCAUGCCGCGUGCGGGAAGAAGGCCUUCGGGUUGGUAAACCGUACGUUUUUCGUUCGUAGGGAAGGAAACGAC
This 434-nucleotide ribosomal RNA is filed under the name uncultured bacterium. RNAcentral describes it as "bacterial SSU rRNA". It matches the Rfam family "Bacterial small subunit ribosomal RNA", at positions 30 to 463 of the family's 1533-position model. The record is from RNAcentral.